RNAcentral lists this ribosomal RNA (306 nucleotides) under uncultured bacterium. RNAcentral's name for it is "bacterial SSU rRNA". It matches the Rfam family "Bacterial small subunit ribosomal RNA", at positions 13 to 321 of the family's 1533-position model. The record is from RNAcentral.
UUGAUCCUGGCUCAGAUUGAACGCUGGCGGCAUGCCUUACACAUGCAAGUCGAACGGCAGCACGGGAGCAAUCCUGGUGGCGAGUAGCGAACGGGUGAGUAAAGUAUCGGAACGUGCCCAGUCGUGGGGGAUAACGUAGCGAAAGCUACGCUAAUACCGCAUACGAUCUAUGGAUGAAAGCGGGGGAUCGCAAGACCUCGCGCGAUUGGAGCGGCCGAUAUCAGAUUAGGUAGUUGGUGGGGUAAAGGCCUACCAAGCCGACGAUCUGUAGCUGGUCUGACAGGACGACCAGCCACACUGGGACUG